Molecule: unclassified non-coding RNA, 144 nt
Filed under: uncultured Mortierella
Lineage: Eukaryota; Fungi; Mortierellomycota; Mortierellomycetes; Mortierellales; Mortierellaceae
Description: sequence contains ITS1
Source: RNAcentral
CAAUAAGUGUUUAAUGGCACUUUUAAAAUCCAUUACCCACCUUGUGUGCACUGUAAGGAGGAGGGGUGUCACAACACCCCUCUUUCAUUAUACAUACCAAUCUUCUCUUGUUGUCUAACUUUUUGAGUAUAAAAAACUCGAAUA